Molecule: long non-coding RNA, 816 nt
Organism: Zingiber officinale
Lineage: Eukaryota; Viridiplantae; Streptophyta; Magnoliopsida; Zingiberales; Zingiberaceae
Exons: 4
Source: RefSeq, a predicted model, not a curated record
AAGGUAAAAUAAAAUUCGCAUUGCUAUUGCACGCGGGCGGCGCCGCGUGCGCGCUGCGCAGCACCGCCGCAGCGCCUCCUAAUUUCCCCUCCGCGCCACCGCCACGUCUCGCCGUUUAACUUCUGAUGGCUCCAUGGCUACAGAUUGUUAAAGUAUCAAUUUUCUAUUGCAUACAAAUAUCGAUUCACAGAGAUUGAGGAUGCUUAAUUGGCCAUCACUGAUCUGCUAACAUGGAAACAGCAGAGAAGGUGAAGUGUAGAGCAUUAAUAUAUGGCUAACAAUGAGAUCACGAGAAUUGAUAGAUUUAUGUUCUGUUAGAUACUUCUUUGUGGCUAUAUUGUUUAUUCGGUUUAAAAGGAGCAUGCCGACCCGACAAUCUCACUAGAACUAAUUCUGUAAGGUCAAAGAAUUCCGGAGAGCCAGAUCUUUUCUGCAGGAUGAUGAUGAAUUGAUAAAACAAAUGGGAGUUUUCAGUGACGAGGGAGGCCAUUCAAACUCUGGGCAUGGCAAACUUUCAAAUUCCAUGCCAAACUAAUACUGCACAAGGGAGCUUCAUUGAUUCUUUUAACUUGAGUAAGAUGCCUCCUUCCAUUGUUUACUUGCUGAAACAGAAAAAGUAGAAAUCUUGUUUAUGUUCUUUUUGCUCUUAGAUUAAUGUAAUUUGAUAAAGUUGAUGUCGUGUGACUUGGGAGGUUACAUGGACCUCAUGGGAGCUUUGUGCAUCAAAUUAUUCUUUAUUAAUGUAAUUCGAUGCCUAAUUAGUAAUCAGUGUGACUUGGGAGGUUACAGGGACCUCAUAUAGUCAUAUUUGUGGGA